This 617-nucleotide ribosomal RNA is filed under the name uncultured bacterium. Its description in RNAcentral is "bacterial SSU rRNA". It matches the Rfam family "Bacterial small subunit ribosomal RNA", at positions 251 to 882 of the family's 1533-position model. The record is from RNAcentral.
GGUGGGGUAACGGCCUACCAAGUCGACGAUCGGUAGCCGGACUGAGAGGUCGAACGGCCACAUUGGGACUGAGACACGGCCCAGACUCCUACGGGGAGGCAGCAGUGGGGGAUAUUGCACAAUGGGGGAAACCCUGAUGCAGCGACGCCGCGUGAGGGAAGACGGUCCUUCUGGAUUGUAAACCUCUGUCUUCGGGGACGAAACGAGACGGUACCCGAGGAGGAAGCCACGGCUAACUACGUGCCAGCAGCCGCGGUAAUACGUAGGUGGCAAGCGUUGUCCGGAAUUACUGGGUGUAAAGGGAGCGUAGGCGGGCAGGCAAGUCAGGCGUGAAAUAUAUCGGCUCAACCGGUAACGGCGCUUGAAACUGCAGGUCUUGAGUGAAGUAGAGGUUGGCGGAAUUCCUAGUGUAGCGGUGAAAUGCGUAGAUAUUAGGAGGAACACCAGUGGCGAAGGCGGCCAACUGGGCUUUUACUGACGCUGAGGCUCGAAAGUGUGGGGAGCAAACAGGAUUAGAUACCCUGGUAGUCCACACCGUAAACGAUGAUUACUAGGUGUGGGGGGACUGACCCCUUCCGUGCCGGAGUUAACACAAUAAGUAAUCCACCUGGGGUGAC